UUUAUGAAUCCACAGUGAACUGGCCUCUAUCCUGUUUACAAAUGAUUGAAAAACAAGACAGAAUAUACAACUACCAUCAACCAUCAUCAUCAAUUUAUAAAACAGAGUAUAUUUUCAUCCAAAAGAAAAUAGAAGGCUAUAAUCUUCAGGGGAAAAUGAGAGAGAAAAAUAUAUUUGAAUAAAUCUGGUUAUCUGAAAAGCUUACCAACUUGUUUUCUCUUUAAUCACAGACUGGGUAAAACUUUAUCCAACAUGGACUCUGAUCUACAGACUAUAGUGUGGGAAUCUCUGAUAUAAUUUCAGCUCCUAACCUUCAACUGAAGAAAUGAAAACUUGAGGUCAUUUAACCAAAAUCACUGUGUAUUGUAACAUCUCAUUUCAUCAUUAUAAGAAGGAAUUCGCAUUUAACAUUUUUG
Artibeus jamaicensis (Jamaican fruit-eating bat) is the source of this 416-nucleotide long non-coding RNA. RefSeq lists it as uncharacterized. The transcript is spliced from 4 exons. NCBI's taxonomy places the organism in Eukaryota, Metazoa, Chordata, Mammalia, Chiroptera, Phyllostomidae. The record is from RefSeq and is a predicted model, not a curated record.